This 392-nucleotide ribosomal RNA is filed under the name uncultured bacterium. Its description in RNAcentral is "partial 16S ribosomal RNA". It matches the Rfam family "Bacterial small subunit ribosomal RNA", at positions 523 to 918 of the family's 1533-position model. The record is from RNAcentral.
AUACGGAGGAUCCGAGCGUUAUCCGGAUUUAUUGGGUUUAAAGGGUGCGCAGGCGGCCAUUUAAGUCAGCGGUUAAAUCGUGGGGCUCAACCCCAUUCUGCCGUUGAUACUGGGUGGCUUGAUUGCGGUCGAGGUUGGCGGAAUUCGUUGUGUAGCGGCGAAAUGCAUAGAUAUGACGAAGAACACCGAUUGCGUAGGCAGCUGACCAGACCGCAAAUGACGCUCAUGCACGAAAGUGCGGGGAUCGAACAGGAUUAGAUACCCUGGUAGUCCGCACAGUAAACGAUGAAUACUUGUUUUCGGCGAUAUAAUGUCGGAGGCAAAGCGAAAGCGAUAAGUAUUCCACCUGGGGAGUACGCCGGCAACGGUGAUACUCAAAGGAAUUGACGGGG